GACGAACGCUGGCGGCGUGCUUAACACAUGCAAGUCGAACGGAAAGGCCCUGCUUGUGUGGGGUUCUCGAGGGGCGAACGGGUGAGUAACACGUGAGUAACCUGCCCUUGACUUUGGGAUAACUUCAGGAAACUGGGGCUAAUACCGGAUAGGAGCUCCUGCUGCAUGGUGGGGGUUGGAAAGUUUCGGCGGUUGGGGAUGGACUCGCGGCUUAUCAGCUUGUUGGUGGGGUAGGGGCUUACCAAGGCUUUGACGGGUAGCCGGCCUGAGAGGGUGACCGGCCACCUUGGGACUGCGAUACGGCGCAGACUCCUACGUGAGGCAGCAGUCGGGAAUCUUGCCCAGUCGGCGCACGCCUGAUGCAGCAGCGCCGCGUUCGGGAUGACGUCCUUCGGGUUGUGAACAGCUUCAGCUUGUGACGACGCGUGAGUGACGGUACUGGGUAAAGAAGCACCGGCUAACUACGUG
This 468-nucleotide ribosomal RNA is filed under the name uncultured bacterium. RNAcentral's name for it is "partial 16S ribosomal RNA". It matches the Rfam family "Bacterial small subunit ribosomal RNA", at positions 28 to 507 of the family's 1533-position model. The record is from RNAcentral.